GUGAGAUGUUGGGUUAAGUCCCGCAACGAGCGCAACCCUUAUCUCCAGUUGCUACCAUUUAGUUGAGCACUCUGGCGAAACCGCCUCGGAUAACGGGGAGGAAGGUGGGGAUGACGUCAAGUCCUCAUGGCCUUUAUGUCCAGGGCUACACACGUGCUACAAUGGUAGAGACAGAGGGCAGCCACUUGGUGACAAGGAGCUAAUCCUUAAACUCUAUCUCAGUUCGGAUUGAAGUCUGUAACUCGACUUCAUGAAGCUGGAAUCGCUAGUAAUCGC
RNAcentral lists this ribosomal RNA (276 nucleotides) under Durinskia baltica. Its description in RNAcentral is "partial Bacterial small subunit ribosomal RNA". It matches the Rfam family "Bacterial small subunit ribosomal RNA", at positions 1067 to 1345 of the family's 1533-position model. Lineage: Eukaryota; Dinophyceae; Peridiniales; Kryptoperidiniaceae. The record is from RNAcentral.